UCUGUGGUGGUUCAGUGGUGGAAUGCUCGCUUGCCACGCGGGCAACCCGGGUUCGAUUCCGGGCCAAUGCACCACAGAU
Molecule: non-coding RNA, 79 nt
Organism: Parelaphostrongylus tenuis
Lineage: Eukaryota; Metazoa; Nematoda; Chromadorea; Rhabditida; Metastrongylidae
Source: the annotation of a GenBank genome assembly